RNAcentral lists this ribosomal RNA (262 nucleotides) under uncultured bacterium. RNAcentral describes it as "partial 16S ribosomal RNA". It matches the Rfam family "Bacterial small subunit ribosomal RNA", at positions 515 to 776 of the family's 1533-position model. The record is from RNAcentral.
CCGCGGUAAUACGAAGGGUGCAAGCGUUACUCGGAAUUAUUGGGCGUAAAGAGCUCGUAGGCGGUCUGUCGCGUCGGCUGUGAAAACCCGGAGCUCAACUCCGGGCCUGCAGUCGAUACGGGCAAACUGGAGUGUUGCAGGGGAGACUGGAAUUCCUGGUGUAGCGGUGAAAUGCGCAGAUAUCAGGAGGAACACCGGUGGCGAAGGCGGGUCUCUGGGCAACAACUGACGCUGAGGAGCGAAAGCGUGGGGAGCGAACAGG